UGCAAUAGAUUGGGGGAUCUUUUAGUGUUGACUAUGUCGUCUUAUUUUUUAUUACGUUGUUCUAGCCAAAAUUUAAACAACGUAACACUGCACU
Molecule: non-coding RNA, 94 nt
Filed under: Staphylococcus epidermidis
Lineage: Bacteria; Bacillati; Bacillota; Bacilli; Caryophanales; Staphylococcaceae
Source: RNAcentral